UAAUGGUCAAUAAUAAAAAUAUAAUUGAUAUUGUGAUAAAGGCUAGUUAAUGACUUGUGGGAAGGGGACAAAACAAUGGAAGGAUAAGAAGAUAAAGAAGUUUAAGAUAGAGUGGAAGAAGGAGAAAAACAUUAACAAAAGAGAAAUUUUGGAUAAAGAAAAAGAGAGAUAAAAAGGGGAAAGAAUUGAAAUCAGAAAGGGAAAAGAGGUACACAGUUACACAGGAAGAAAUAUUAAGGAUUAAAAAAUAUGAGAAAGGGCUAAGUAGAUUUGUGGGGUUACUAUUAGCAUAGCCUGCUUUCUAAUUUAGCCUUCAAAAUAAAAUAUCACAUUAUUGCCACCUUCUUUGCAAUUCUGAUUAGCAAAUUGGCUACUCUUUUUCCCAAUUAGGAAUUUCAGCCAGCAAUGUGUUGGCUAACCACAGGAGUUCCCAAAAGGAAGAUGUUUUUCUGCAAUGCUUUUUGCCACAGGAUGGCAAAAUUACACCCAGAUCUGAUUCUCCUGCAGAUUCCCUAUUCUGACUAGCUCCUAGGGCUCAAUGAGCAAGGAAGACCAGAAAAAUCCGACAUGGGAGCUAUGGACAGUUAUCAUGGUUGGUAACCUAACAUACGAAUCACCAGGAAAGAAAAGCAGAGGUUGGCAAGAGACGAGAGAAAGGCCAAGCAGUGAAAGUAAGAAUUUUCCUUGAACUGAAAAUCAUCCAGUACUUUUGUCAACAGGGACCAAGCAAAGAAGUGUAAACGAUUGAAGCAGGUGCGUCAGGGAGCCAGCAGGGGGUGCUGCGUCUGCGGUGAAUGGAGGAAAACAAGCCUCGUCCAAAAGGAGCAACCAGUACUUGUCUGGGUGAGUGUUCUCAUGAGGACUGUGGGCCAAUUGUAGCUAGAUCUUUCCAUUUUAAAACAACCACCAAAACCCACUAGAGAUGUACUUUUUAUUUUCAAAUAUGAAAUCAUCAUGCUUUAAAAUGUUGACUUAAGUAGGGAAAAUAUCCUGUGUUGACUUCCAGGCUUUAGGGUUGCAAAACCUUCAGCAACCUGAAGCAAGAGCAGCACAGCACAAAAUCUGGGAGGUGGACAGCAUUAAAAGAAAGGAUCUCUAGCUAUCUGGAUGAGGCUGCAAAGGUGUCCUCAACAAUACACCAACAAUUUGAUAUUAUCAAUUUAAAAAAUAAAUUAGACUUCUGAUUCUGGGAAGAUGGAAUAGACAUACUUUUCCCUAUUCCUUCCACUAAGUGCAAUUGAAAACUUUGGACAGUACAUAUAAAACAAACAUGACUCUGAAAGGGAGAGAAAGUGGACCAGCUAGGCAUCUUGGGUUAAAAGUGGAAUGGAUGAGAUGGCUACGGUGAGGAGAGAAAUGCAAAAUGAGGGCCAAAGAAAGAAAUUUGGGGAUGCCUCCAGAGUUAUUACUCUUUGAUUUACAAUGAGAACAACAUAGGAGCUUUUUAAAAAAUAAUCCAAUCCUUAGUAUCCCUCCAUGGAGAUUCAUGGGUGCUUUCUAUAUUUUUUCAAGGCUCUACAGAUAAUUCUAUGGUGCAAUAUAUGUUGAAAACAGCUAAAUCACUGGAGGGAAAAAGAACUAAGAAGGAUUUGCCAUAAACAGGGAAGUGAUUCAGAAGAUAGCAUUCAGGAAGCUAAGGAAGCGGCAGAUUCAUGGAUGUGAGAGUGGCCAACAGCACCAAAUUCUGUAGGACAGUAAAGAGAUUGAGGACUCAAAGGAAGUUCUUUCUUGAAUAAUGAAACAAAGACUGCAUUUGAAGGCUCUUAAAUGUUGUGGGAAUACUAAAAUAAAUUAGGUCUGUAUAUAUCAGUAUCUUAUUUUAUAGGCCAAUAAGGGAGCAGUUCAGGGCAAUGAUAGUAAAAAGGAGUAAAGAGAGAACCUUACACUAACUUUAGAACUGCCUAGACACCAUCCCUGAUGACUUUAUUAAGAGGACAAUAGAUGUCUAUGAAGUCAACCUAUUUUAAAAAUGAUAGUACAAAAUGCUGUCAGAAGGCAAAUAUCUAGGGUGCAAAUCUAAAUACAAUUUAUAUAAAGUCAAGACUUAGAUAAAUUAUAAAAAUAUUAGGAAAUGCCCAAAUUAAAAAACUCAAAGUUUACUACCUUAUAUAAUUUUUCUUAUUUCACAUUCUGAUAUCUUUAAUCUUACAAUUUAUUAGUUCUAUGACAAACUGGUAAUUUCCCUUUAAGUAUAUAAUUUUUAUGAUUUGCUACGUUCUAAAAAUAUAGUAUGAAAUCUUCCUCAUUUUAUAAUGAAAAUAAAUAUUAACAUAUAUGCAUAAUGGUCUAUUAGUAAA
Molecule: non-coding RNA, 2297 nt
Organism: Microcebus murinus (gray mouse lemur)
Lineage: Eukaryota; Metazoa; Chordata; Mammalia; Primates; Cheirogaleidae
Source: RefSeq, a predicted model, not a curated record